Epinephelus lanceolatus (giant grouper) is the source of this 2071-nucleotide non-coding RNA. NCBI's taxonomy places the organism in Eukaryota, Metazoa, Chordata, Actinopteri, Perciformes, Serranidae. The record is from RefSeq and is a predicted model, not a curated record.
UCGUCUACUGGCAGUAAAAUUUCUCUAAAAGUUUGUUUAGGAGCUCCGAGGACAUUGUGUGUGAUGAAUGAAAAAUUGGAGAGACAUCUAACAAUCCAUAGCUCUUUUCAUGACUCUGCUGUUGAAGCCAAUUUUCCAGUCAUGCCAUGUCAUGUGAGGUGCAAGAGAACAGUGUGAGAGAGAAAGUCAUUUGCAAAGGUUGAUCAACAGUUUCAGCUUCCUGUUGAAGGCGUGGUUUGUGAAGCUGAUCUAUUUAUGGCAACUUCCCUCCAGAAAGCAAAACUAGUUGGUACAAGUGCUGAGCUACACAGAGAGAAGGACUGUCAGCACAGUUUAUGGUUAGAAAAACACAUUUUAGGUUUCGAGUUGGCACGGUAGAGAGAAACAAGGUUAUUUUGAUGAUAAGUUUGGGGUUUAGAAGCAAGGAAGUCUAUAUUUUAAGUGGAUACAUUGAGAUCAUAAAAACUGAAAGGUAGUUAAAAUGUUUAGGGUCAGUCAUUGCAAAAACAGGCUCAGGUAAAGUCCAGGUGGGUGACGGUUGAGUAUUUGUUCAGCUACAGUAACUUUGUCUCAUAAAUCUCAGUUCCUGACACCAUGUUUGAACUUUGAGCCUUCUGCAAAUGAUGUUGUCUGACAGAGAAGCAAUGAACGAGCACCUGCUGAAAAUACUGAUCGUUGGCGAUGGAACUGUUGGAAAAACCUCCUUUGUGAGCCGCUACGUCAACGGACUGUUCAGCAAGAGCUACAAGGCGACAGUGGGAGUGGAUUAUGCUGUGAAGCUGCUGCACUGGUCCGAUAAAGAUAAAGUUAGACUGCAACUAUGGGACAUCGCAGGCCAGGAGCGUUUCAUAUCCAUGACCAGGAUCUAUUAUAAAGGCGCAAUGGGAUGCGUCGUGAUGUUUGACGUCACCAACACGUCCAGCUUCCUUAACUGUCGCCAUUGGAAACGAGACCUUGACAACAAGGCAAUGCUGCCCAACGGAGACUCCAUCCCCUGCAUCCUGCUGGCCAACAAGUGUGACCUUCCUCAGCGGGUCGUGUCAGCGGACAGCAUCGACAAGUUCAGUCAGGCCAACGGCUUCAUCACGUGGAUGGAGAUUUCAGUAAAAGAGAACAAGAACAUUGGAGAGGCUAUGAGGAGGUUGGUGCAGAAUAUUUUGUCCGUUCAGUCCAGCCUGGACCCCCUCCAACCUGGACCCCAAGACAGCGUUUACCUUCAACUGGACUCAGAGUGCACCAGUAGAGGAGAAGGCUGCUGCUGAAUCACAGGAACAAGCAAACACAGCCAAGACCUGCUCAUUAGUUUCAAGUUGUUUCAAGCGCCACCGGGCAAGGCACUUCACCCUCAAGGGCUGACAUUUCACGAGCACGCUCAAUGACUCGUGAGUGAUGACGCUGGAAAUGUUGGGAGAGUCCGUUUGGGGAUUGUUCGCGUCAACGUUCCUCCACCAACCACUCCUCCACCAUCUCCUGAGAGGACACAAUAACUGAUGUUUUCCUUUUGGAUUCAAAGCUGAUGAGGAGAACACCAACCAACACCAAUCUGCCCAGCCUAUGAUGUAUAAAAUAUUGUAACAUAUUUAUUUCCUAACUACCUCAGGAGAUAGUUUUGCAGCUGCCAGGGGGAAUGUGGAAAGUUUGAAGCUCUGUAAUUUCUGGGGGAUACAUCUGACAAAAUGUGUCUAUAUUCAUCUCCCUGCAGAUUUGAUCCUGCACUGUGUAUGAAUGGAGUCAAAUUCAUAGCAUGGUAGCGUAUCAAUAUGCUCGUCCAGUAAAGUAGAUUCUUAAUGUGACUCUGAUUCUUUAACUUUGACAAUAAAACUUAUUGAAGUAUUCACACACCAGCAGCUCCCACAGCCACGGAACACUGUGAAAAACCUGACAAGAACACGAGGUGUUAAUGAGACAGUGGUAAAAUGCUGAUUAUGUUGUGAACCUCAGUGGUGACCACUGCUGAAUAUCAAAAUGUGAGCUGGCAGGAAACUUUAGCACAAUUACAAAAUCAGGGAGUAUCUGCACUCCACCCCCAUUUUGUAGCAAAACCGCCUAAAAUGACAUACCCAAAUUAAAA